UACGUAGGUGGCAAGCGUUGUCCGGAUUUAUUGGGUUUAAAGGGUGCGUAGGCGGCUUUGUAAGUCAGUGGUGAAAUAUGGCAGCUUAACUGUCAAGGUGCCAUUGAUACUGCGGAGCUUGAGUACAGAUGAGGUAGGCGGAAUUGACGGUGUAGCGGUGAAAUGCUUAGAUAUCGUCAAGAACACCUAUAGCAAGGCAGCUUACUAGGCUGUAACUGACGCUGAGGCACGAAAGUGUGGGGAUCAAACAGG
Molecule: ribosomal RNA, 252 nt
Filed under: uncultured bacterium
Lineage: Bacteria
Description: partial 16S ribosomal RNA
Rfam family: Bacterial small subunit ribosomal RNA
Source: RNAcentral